This 28-nucleotide non-coding RNA is filed under the name Xenopus laevis (African clawed frog). The record is from RNAcentral. Lineage: Eukaryota; Metazoa; Chordata; Amphibia; Anura; Pipidae. RNAcentral also lists the same sequence under 1 other name.
GCUCUGACUUUAUUGCACUACUGUACUA